GACAGAAAUCGGCGUAAAGGGUGGUUAAUAGCACAUGCACUAAGGCCGAACAUCUUCAAGGCUGUCAUACGCACCCGAAGACAGGAAGCCCUCACACGAAAGUAGCCUUAACACACUAUGAACCCACGAAAGCUAGGAAACAAACUGGGAUUAGAUACCCCACUAUGCUUAGCCCUAAACACAAAUACUCCUUUACAAUGUAUUCGCCAGGGAACAACGAGCCCCAGCUUAAAACCCAAAGGACUUGGCGGUGCUUUAGACCCCCCUAGAGGAGCCUGUUCUAGAACCGAUACCCCCCGUUCAACCUCACCCUCUCUUGUUUUACCCGCCUAUAUACCGCCGUCGUCAGCUUACCCUGUGAAGGUUAAAUAGUAAGCAAAAUUGGCACAACCCAAAACGUCAGGUCGAGGUGUAGCGCACGGGAGGGGAAGAAAUGGGCUACAUUUGCUGUCCCAGCAAAUACGGACUUUGCACUGAAAUAAGCAUCUGAAGGAGGAUUUAGCAGUAAGGAGGGAAUAGAGCGCCCCCCUGAAAUCGGCCCUGAAGCGCGCACACACCGCCCGUCACUCUCCCCCGACCACUGCAAUCGAUAAAUAAUAGGCUUAGACU
RNAcentral lists this ribosomal RNA (609 nucleotides) under Nemateleotris magnifica (fire goby). Its description in RNAcentral is "partial small subunit ribosomal RNA". It matches the Rfam family "Bacterial small subunit ribosomal RNA", at positions 547 to 1442 of the family's 1533-position model. The record is from RNAcentral. Lineage: Eukaryota; Metazoa; Chordata; Actinopteri; Gobiiformes; Gobiidae.